GAUGAACGCUGGCGGCGUGCCUAAUACAUGCAAGUCGAGCGAACAGACGAGGAGCUUGCACCUUUGACGUUAGCGGCGGACGGGUGAGUAACACGUAGGUAACCUACCUAUAAGACUGGGAUAACUUCGGGAAACCGGAGCUAAUACCGGAUAAUAUUUCGAACCGCAUGGUUCGAUAGUGAAAGAUGGCUUUGCUAUCACUUAUAGAUGGACCUGCGCCGUAUUAGCUAGUUGGUAAGGUAACGGCUUACCAAGGCAACGAUACGUAGCCGACCUGAGAGGGUGAUCGGCCACACUGGAACUGAGACACGGUCCAGACUCCUACGGGAGGCAGCAGUAGGGAAUCUUCCGCAAUGGGCGAAAGCCUGACGGAGCAACGCCGCGUGAGUGAUGAAGGUCUUCGGAUCGUAAAACUCUGUUAUUAGGGAAGAACAAACGUGUAAGUAACUGUGCACGUCUUGACGGUACCUAAUCAGAAAGCCACGGCUAACUACGUG
RNAcentral lists this ribosomal RNA (497 nucleotides) under uncultured bacterium. Its description in RNAcentral is "partial 16S ribosomal RNA". It matches the Rfam family "Bacterial small subunit ribosomal RNA", at positions 28 to 507 of the family's 1533-position model. The record is from RNAcentral.